CCCGACGUGUCCCAAAAAAACCCCGACGCCCACCCCACUCCCAGCUUCCCUAACCUCCCCACGACUACCUCUUUGCUGUCGCCCGAGCCUCUCCCACCAGCGCGCCGCCGCCGCUGCCCGAGGCCCCUCCGACCAGCGCGCCGUCGCCGCCCGGGGCUCCUUCCCACCAGUGCGUCACCGCCGCCCCUAAGCCCCUCCGACCAACGCGCCGCCACCGUCCUGAUCCCCCUACGACCAACGCGCCACCGCUGCCCCGAUCCCCCUCCGACCAGCACGCCGCCGCCGGCGCCAAGCCCCUCACACCAGCGCGUCGCCGCCGCCCCGAUCCCCCUCCCACCAGUGCACCACGGCCGCCCCAAACCCCCUUCCAUGACCAUAUCACCCGCACCAUCGGCCGCGCCUCCCUCCUGCAUGCCACCUGCGGCUUCCACGCCAUGGAAGGUACUGAGCCAUUGCGGUAGUACAACUGCAUGCUCCACCGCCGGUCAUGAGAAGAGCUGCGUGCAGGCCACCCGUGGUCUUUCCUGGAUCCGACUCAGUCGUGUCCCUCUCAUCCUCUCUCUGUUUGUGUGCGUAUGAAGGAAGUAGGAGGAGAUAAAACAAGGGAGUGAGAGAUCCCCAUUGUCAUGUAUGUGAGAUGUGGGUGUGUGAUUUCCCAAUGUCAAAUCCCAUGUUUGUGUUGAUUAGUUGUAGUUUCAUGGAUCUGGUUCUUAUGCAAUGUAAAUCCGUGCAUAGUUCACUCAUUGUUUCUCUAAAACUAUGAGCCGAUGAUAGAUUAGAGAUGAGUUGACGGUGUGGGUUCCGGUAGUGAGAUUUGCAGCUAGUUUGUUUACUUGUUUAUGUGGUUGCAAGGGAAUUCUAUUUGAUUACAGUUAGGCCACCAGUUAGUAUUGUGGUAUUCUGUUGCAACAAAAAUGGGUCGCCGGUUCAGUUAUAGGCACCCAACUCUGAAGAUUUUGAAAUUUUGCAUGGUAUUUUAAGUUUGGUUUCUAUCAUAUAAUGUAAAGUUGUAAACAUGUUUCCAAUGGUCUUUGCUCCCAGUUCUGAACUUCUUAUUCAGUCUAUUAGUACAGUCGUAGUGGUGGCCACCCCGACGCCUAGCCCGCCAACACGCAUCGCGCGCUGCCCCAGGGCCCCCGAGCACUGCCGCGCACCGUCGCCGGUGCCUGACGGUGCGGGCCACCAUCGCUGCCCGACGAAUGGGGAGUCUGAUCAUUUGCUGGUCAAAAUCUGACAACAAUCGGAGGAGGAAUGCGCAACAAGCAAGUCUAUCAUCGAUGGCAAGUUAUAGCUAGCAACAGGCCCAUCUGCGUGGUAUGCAAACAGGAGUACUGAUGGACAUAUGAGGGAUCAUUGUUUCUUAUUGGAGAAGGCCUGGUGUUUAGUUGGUGUCUGUGUGGUACCUACACGGCUACACCAGCAUUUUCCAUCAACACCUCCAGAAAAAGAGAUAAUCUCCAGGUGAAAACACAAAAUCCUUUUACUGCUGUCUUUAUUGUUUCACUCAUUCAUUUUAUUAUAUGUACACAAAUUAAUGUCAUCCUGAAUUUAUUACACCGGUGCGGGAGCAAAAAACAGAUGCGCAAGUUAAUCUUUGUGACACUCAAUUCGAAUUUUGAUUUUAGUUCAGUGCAAUUAUUUUUUUUUGUUCAGUUCAUUUUCUUAUUUUAGUAUGGUGCCUUAUUGCAUUUCUACUCUUAUGAAUUUUGGUGACCACAACCCAGUCCGGUGGUUCAGAUAUUCAUUUUCGAGAAGUACUGCAAAUAAAAAUUAAAAGCUCGUCCAUCAAAAAGGUUCACAUUAGGAUUAUACUGUUUCACAUGGUAUUGUCCAGUAAGUACAUGUUCUAUAGUUGGUUUCUGUACUAAACUCAUUAUUAGUUUGGUUUGUAUUAUUUUUUCAGUUCAUGAAAAAACACAAAAUAGUUGGGUGCGUGCGCAAAAAUAUCAACAAUACACGUUUCAAAAUUAUGUACGUUCAAUCUGUGUGUUGCUACAAAUUUGCACUUCUCGUCCAAUACUCACUUUGAUACAUAUUUAGGAAUUACCUUUUUUAACUUUGGCAUCCCCCGACGCAUCGCGCCCCUAGAGAGGCCACGUGUUGGAUCCAGUAGGGCAACGCUGUUGACACCGACACCAUAGUCCUCCGGUGUCACCCUCCCCGUCCAUGUCCAGGUAUAGGACAAACACUAGUCCAGCUCUUCCUCGUUUCUCCGUCCAAGCUCCGCGUGCCAUGCUUGAUGGUCAUUUCAUCACUAUAAAACAUAAUUUCUUUCAGUUCUAAACGUGGACAGUUCUAGGAACAUUGUUGUGCAGACCAAAAGUGUGUCAUGGAUGUUCUCUUCACAAAUUUUGUGUUUUGGAGUAAGUCAAUUUCGAUUGUUGACACAGUAGCUUCUAGUUUUUUGCAAUGGAUUUGGAGAUAUGAAAAAUGAUUGAUUUUGAACAGUACUUUGCUGUGUGAUAUUUUUGAAACUAGGAUGACCUCGUCCUUCGUCUGCUUCUCUUUUCCAGCCGCAUCCAGGACGACCGGGACUCGCUGCCACUAGCUGUUGGUGCACCUUCUGUUAGCUCCCAGCUGUUACCUAGUGUGCUUGAUGCUACUGCUACAAAGAAGGUUGAAGGAGAUCCCUUCACUUCAAUGGAUUCAACAAAAAUAAUCCCUGCUGCCACUGCAUAAUUUGUGUAGGGGGCUUCUAUAGUGAUGGCAUCCCGAGUUCGACAAACUUUUAAAAAAUCGUGUUCGGAAUCAAAUGUGACCGUAUUCAAAUUUGUUUUUAGAACGUAAGGAAUUAGAAAAACAUUUCAAUAUGAAAAUGUUGCGCAUUUUCCAUAGCUUUCCAACGCCAUAUCACUUGCGUCAAUCCGACAAACCAUUUGGACAAAAAUGUGAAAAUACUUUUCACCCAGAAUUUCACCAUUUUUCCAAUUACUUUUAAAAUGUAUAGAAUUUGAAAAAACAAUAGAUAUAUGGAAGAUGCAGAUUUUUACCAACUUUCCAACGCCAUCUUAUUUGCACAAUUCCGACAAACUGUUUGAAAACUGAGUCCAAAAUACGAUUCAUGUUUUCGGUUUUGAAAAAAAUGGUUUCUUCAAAACAGCUCUUCAACCGUAAUGAUUUUGCAAAAACGUUCAAUAUACUUGAUAUGUAGUUGUCAAGAGCUUUCCAAUGAUAUAUUACACGCACCGUUCUGACCAAAAAAUUACAAUUUUUUUUGAACUAAAGAAGACAAUCUGUUAAACAGAAUUGAAAGCAUUAGUUCAACCGCUCCAAAAUCAUCAGUACAACCAUCUGAAACUGUCAGUGCAAGUAG
This is an RNA transcript of Triticum aestivum (bread wheat), 3313 nucleotides long. RefSeq lists it as uncharacterized. Lineage: Eukaryota; Viridiplantae; Streptophyta; Magnoliopsida; Poales; Poaceae. The record is from RefSeq and is a predicted model, not a curated record. The transcript has 5 exons.